GCCCAGGUGGUGGAAUUAGGCAGACACGCUACCUUGAGGUGGUAGUGGGCGCAAGCCCUUGCGGGUUCGAGUCCCGCCUUGGGCACCA
This 88-nucleotide transfer RNA is filed under the name Candidatus Portnoybacteria bacterium CG03_land_8_20_14_0_80_41_10. RNAcentral's name for it is "tRNA-Leu". It matches the Rfam family "tRNA". Rfam says of the family: Transfer RNA (tRNA) molecules are approximately 80 nucleotides in length. Their secondary structure includes four short double-helical elements and three loops (D, anti-codon, and T loops). The record is from RNAcentral. Lineage: Bacteria; Candidatus Portnoyibacteriota.